GCAAACGGCUGUUAACCGUUGGGUCGUAGGUUCGAGUCCUACAUUAGGCG
Molecule: transfer RNA, 50 nt
Filed under: Firmicutes bacterium CAG:822
Lineage: Bacteria; Bacillati; Bacillota
Rfam family: tRNA
About the family: Transfer RNA (tRNA) molecules are approximately 80 nucleotides in length. Their secondary structure includes four short double-helical elements and three loops (D, anti-codon, and T loops). Further hydrogen bonds mediate the characteristic L-shaped molecular structure. tRNAs have two regions of fundamental functional importance: the anti-codon, which is responsible for specific mRNA codon recognition, and the 3' end, to which the tRNAs corresponding amino acid is attached (by aminoacyl-tRNA synthetases). tRNAs cope with the degeneracy of the genetic code in two manners: having more than one tRNA (with a specific anti-codon) for a particular amino acid; and 'wobble' base-pairing, i.e. permitting non-standard base-pairing at the 3rd anti-codon position.
Source: Rfam by way of RNAcentral